CCAAACUGUUGCCUCGGCGGGAUCUCUGCCCCGGGCGCGUCGCAGCCCCGGACCAAGGCGCCCGCCGGAGGACCAACCAAAACUCUUAUUGUAUACCCCCUCGCGGGUUUUUUACUAUCUGAGCCAUCUCGGCGCCCCUCGUGGGCGUUUCGAAAAUGAAUCAAAACUUUCAACAACGGAUCUCUUGGUUCUGGCAUCGAUGAAGAACGCAGCGAAAUGCGAUAAGUAAUGUGAAUUGCAGAAUUCAGUGAAUCAUCGAAUCUUUGAACGCACAUUGCGCCCGCCAGUAUUCUGGCGGGCAUGCCUGUCCGAGCGUCAUUUCAACCCUCGAACCCCUCCGGGGGGUCGGCGUUGGGGAUCGGCCCUUUACGGGGCCGGCCCCGAAAUACAGUGGCGGUCUCGCCGCAGCCUCUCCUGCGCAGUAGUUUGCACACUCGCAUCGGGAGCGCGGCGCGUCCACAGCCGUUAAACACCCCAAACUUCUGAAAUGUUGACCUCGGAUCAGGUAGGAAUACCCGCUGAACUUAAGCAUAUCAAUAAGCGGAGGAA
RNAcentral lists this ribosomal RNA (549 nucleotides) under Trichoderma virens. Its description in RNAcentral is "eukaryotic LSU rRNA". The stretch from base 165 to 318 matches the Rfam family "5.8S ribosomal RNA". Lineage: Eukaryota; Fungi; Ascomycota; Sordariomycetes; Hypocreales; Hypocreaceae. The record is from RNAcentral.